Molecule: ribosomal RNA, 1475 nt
Filed under: Escherichia coli
Lineage: Bacteria; Pseudomonadati; Pseudomonadota; Gammaproteobacteria; Enterobacterales; Enterobacteriaceae
Description: partial 23S ribosomal RNA
Rfam family: Bacterial large subunit ribosomal RNA
Source: RNAcentral
CGGGACACGUGGUAUCCUGUCUGAAUAUGGGGGGACCAUCCUCCAAGGCUAAAUACUCCUGACUGACCGAUAGUGAACCAGUACCGUGAGGGAAAGGCGAAAAGAACCCCGGCGAGGGGAGUGAAAAAGAACCUGAAACCGUGUACGUACAAGCAGUGGGAGCACAGAGCAAUCUGUGUGACUGCGUACCUUUUGUAUAAUGGGUCAGCGACUUAUAUUCUGUAGCAAGGUUAACCGAAUAGGGGAGCCGAAGGGAAACCGAGUCUUAACUGGGCGUUAAGUUGCAGGGUAUAGACCCGAAACCCGGUGAUCUAGCCAUGGGCAGGUUGAAGGUUGGGUAACACUAACUGGAGGACCGAACCGACUAAUGUUGAAAAAUUAGCGGAUGACUUGUGGCUGGGGGUGAAAGGCCAAUCAAACCGGGAGAUAGCUGGUUCUCCCCGAAAGCUAUUUAGGUAGCGCCUCGUGAAUUCAUCUCCGGGGGUAGAGCACUGUUUCGGCAAGGGGGUCAUCCCGACUUACCAACCCGAUGCAAACUGCGAAUACCGGAGAAUGUUAUCACGGGAGACACACGGCGGGUGCUAACGUCCGUCGUGAAGAGGGAAACAACCCAGACCGCCAGCUAAGGUCCCAAAGUCAUGGUUAAGUGGGAAACGAUGUGGGAAGGCCCAGACAGCCAGGAUGUUGGCUUAGAAGCAGCCAUCAUUUAAAGAAAGCGUAAUAGCUCACUGGUCGAGUCGGCCUGCGCGGAAGAUGUAACGGGGCUAAACCAUGCACCGAAGCUGCGGCAGCGACACUAUGUGUUGUUGGGUAGGGGAGCGUUCUGUAAGCCUGUGAAGGUGUACUGUGAGGUAUGCUGGAGGUAUCAGAAGUGCGAAUGCUGACAUAAGUAACGAUAAAGCGGGUGAAAAGCCCGCUCGCCGGAAGACCAAGGGUUCCUGUCCAACGUUAAUCGGGGCAGGGUGAGUCGACCCCUAAGGCGAGGCCGAAAGGCGUAGUCGAUGGGAAACAGGUUAAUAUUCCUGUACUUGGUGUUACUGCGAAGGGGGGACGGAGAAGGCUAUGUUGGCCGGGCGACGGUUGUCCCGGUUUAAGCGUGUAGGCUGGUUUUCCAGGCAAAUCCGGAAAAUCAAGGCUGAGGCGUGAUGACGAGGCACUACGGUGCUGAAGCAACAAAUGCCCUGCUUCCAGGAAAAGCCUCUAAGCAUCAGGUAACAUCAAAUCGUACCCCAAACCGACACAGGUGGUCAGGUAGAGAAUACCAAGGCGCUUGAGAGAACUCGGGUGAAGGAACUAGGCAAAAUGGUGCCGUAACUUCGGGAGAAGGCACGCUGAUAUGUAGGUGAAGUCCCUCGCGGAUGGAGCUGAAAUCAGUCGAAGAUACCAGCUGGCUGCAACUGUUUAUUAAAAACACAGCACUGUGCAAACACGAAAGUGGACGUAUACGGUGUGACGCCUGCCCGGUGCCGGAAGGU